This 663-nucleotide ribosomal RNA is filed under the name Streptobacillus moniliformis. Its description in RNAcentral is "bacterial SSU rRNA". It matches the Rfam family "Bacterial small subunit ribosomal RNA", at positions 154 to 831 of the family's 1533-position model. The record is from RNAcentral. Lineage: Bacteria; Fusobacteriati; Fusobacteriota; Fusobacteriia; Fusobacteriales; Leptotrichiaceae.
AAAUGAUGGAUAAUACUAGAUAUUAUUAGUAGUAGGCAUCUACUAUUAAUGAAAGGAGAGAUUGCUAAGAGAGAGCUUUGCAUCCUAUUAGCUAGUUGGUGGGGUAAAGGCCUACCAAGGCUAUGAUAGGUAGCCGGCCCGAGAGGGUGAACGGCCACAAGGGGACUGAGAUACGGCCCUUACUCCUACGGGAGGCAGCAGUGGGGAAUAUUGGACAAUGGAGGAAACUCUGAUCCAGCAAUUCUGUGUGCACGAAGAAGGUUUUCGGAUUGUAAAGUGCUUUCAGUAGGGAAGAAGAAGAUGACGGUACCUACAGAAGAAGCGACGGCUAAAUACGUGCCAGCAGCCGCGGUAAUACGUAUGUCGCAAGCGUUAUCCGGAAUUAUUGGGCUUAAAGGGCAUCUAGGCGGUCUAACAAGUUGAAGGUGAAAAGCUGUGGCUCAACCAUAGUCUUGCCUACAAAACUGUCAGACUAGAGUACUGGAAAGGUGGGUGGAACUACACGAGUAGAGGUGAAAUUCGUAGAUAUGUGUAGGAAUGCCGAUGAUGAAGAUAACUCACUGGACAGAAACUGACGCUGAAGUGCGAAAGCUAGGGGAGCAAACAGGAUUAGAUACCCUGGUAGUCCUAGCUGUAAACGAUGAUCCUGGGGGGGGGGGGGGG